This 24-nucleotide non-coding RNA is filed under the name Gossypium hirsutum (cotton). Lineage: Eukaryota; Viridiplantae; Streptophyta; Magnoliopsida; Malvales; Malvaceae. The record is from RNAcentral.
UUAACAAUAAUUAGACCUGGAAGC